UGGCUGGCCUAGUCACGUGGAUACUUCGUUGAAAAACCUUUUCGUCACAUGAGAAAUCUAGCGGUUCAAACCGCAGUCUUCCACCGACGCUAUCCAGUCUUUUU
Molecule: vault RNA, 104 nt
Filed under: Mytilus galloprovincialis (Mediterranean mussel)
Lineage: Eukaryota; Metazoa; Mollusca; Bivalvia; Mytilida; Mytilidae
Rfam family: Vault RNA
About the family: This family of RNAs are found as part of the enigmatic vault ribonucleoprotein complex.
Source: Rfam by way of RNAcentral